RNAcentral lists this non-coding RNA (399 nucleotides) under Capsicum annuum. RNAcentral describes it as "Bacterial large subunit ribosomal RNA". It matches the Rfam family "Bacterial large subunit ribosomal RNA", at positions 46 to 472 of the family's 2925-position model. The record is from Rfam by way of RNAcentral. Lineage: Eukaryota; Viridiplantae; Streptophyta; Magnoliopsida; Solanales; Solanaceae.
ACGAGGAAGGGCAUAGUAAUCAACGAAAUACUUCGGGGAGUUGAAAAUGAGCAUAGAUGCAGAGAUUCCCAAAUAGGGCAACCUUUCAAACUGCUGCUAAAUUCAUGGACAGGCAAGAGACAACCUGGCGAAUGAAAACAUCUUAAUAGCCAGAGAAAAAAAAAGUAAAAGCGAUUCAUGUAGUAGCGGCGAGCGAAAUGGAAGCAGCCUAAACCGUGAAAAUGGGGUUGUAGGAGAGCAAUACAAGCACCAUUCUGUUAGGCGAAGCAACCUGAAUGCUGCACCCUAGAUGGCCAAAUUCCAGUAGCCGAAAGCAUCACUAGCGUACGCUUUGACCCAAAUAGAAAUUAAAUUUUCUCUAAGAGAUAGUACAAUAAAUGUUUCCUCUAAGUCCAAAUA